This 684-nucleotide long non-coding RNA is filed under the name Chinchilla lanigera (long-tailed chinchilla). RNAcentral's name for it is "lncRNA (ENSCLAG00000023341.1)". Lineage: Eukaryota; Metazoa; Chordata; Mammalia; Rodentia; Chinchillidae. The record is from RNAcentral.
AACAAGACUCUGCCUAAAAGAAAAAAAUAAAUGUAGGUUUAUCUGGGAAUGUAGCUCAGUGUGAACAGCCUGGCUCCAGUACCUAGUACCAUUAAAAAAAAAAAAGUGUGGCCUGCCUGUGUGUGACCUCUGAGGGUCCCUAAUCUGCUGCUCUGGGAGACAAAAAUUGUUCUUUCUCUAUACCCUAAUAAGACCCUUCACCCAUGUGGGCAGUCAUUGGCUGUUUGAUGAUAAACAAACCCUCUGGUGAUUUCAAGCAUGACACUGGCGGCACCCGUCACAAGGUUGGAUGACUAUUCUUGUUUUUUCAAGAAAUGGGAUGCAGCUGAAUGCUAGUAGAGAACACAGCAUUGCCGUCUUGGAAGGAGAAAACUCUUUGCAUCGUGAGCUCAUCCUUGCUGGGUCAGCAGAGAACAAUGGCACUGACUGGCAGUGCAGUUUAGCCAGCUCGUCAGCCCUAGAUGCAAUGACAGACCAAGAAACGCUGAUCCUCAGACAGCGUGAACAAAGUGGAGUGGAAUUCACAGCUACACUUCAGAAGCUGGUAUUUUAUGGCAUGCAUAUAUAGUAUUGCAAUGUUUCACUGCCUAGGAAUAGCUCUAGAUUACCGACUACAGUCUAUUUGUUGAGUCCAAAUGUAUCUGUGUUCUGUUGAGACCAAAAUUAAUCCGACUUUGAACAAAC